RNAcentral lists this ribosomal RNA (497 nucleotides) under uncultured bacterium. RNAcentral describes it as "partial 16S ribosomal RNA". It matches the Rfam family "Bacterial small subunit ribosomal RNA", at positions 28 to 507 of the family's 1533-position model. The record is from RNAcentral.
GAUGAACGCUGGCGGCGUGCCUAAUACAUGCAAGUCGAGCGAACGGACGAGAAGCUUGCUUCUCUGAUGUUAGCGGCGGACGGGUGAGUAACACGUGGAUAACCUACCUAUAAGACUGGGAUAACUUCGGGAAACCGGAGCUAAUACCGGAUAAUAUUUUGAACCGCAUGGUUCAAAAGUGAAAGACGGUCUUGCUGUCACUUAUAGAUGGAUCCGCGCUGCAUUAGCUAGUUGGUAAGGUAACGGCUUACCAAGGCAACGAUGCAUAGCCGACCUGAGAGGGUGAUCGCCCACACUGGAACUGAGACACGGUCCAGACUCCUGCGGGAGGCAGCAGUAGGGAAUCUUCCGCAAUGGGCGAAAGCCUGACGGAGCAACGCCGCGUGAGUGAUGAAGGUCUUCGGAUCGUAAAGCUCUGUUAUUAGGGAAGAACAUAUGUGUAAGUAACUGUGCACAUCUUGACGGUACCUAAUCAGAAAGCCACGGCUAACUACGUG